This 1017-nucleotide ribosomal RNA is filed under the name uncultured bacterium. RNAcentral describes it as "bacterial SSU rRNA". It matches the Rfam family "Bacterial small subunit ribosomal RNA", at positions 355 to 1375 of the family's 1533-position model. The record is from RNAcentral.
UGAGGAAUAUUGGUCAAUGGGCGAGAGCCUGAACCAGCCAAGUAGCGUGAAGGAUGAAGGUCCUACGGAUUGUAAACUUCUUUUAUACGGGAAUAAAGUAUCCUACGUGUAGGAUUUUGUAUGUACCGUAUGAAUAAGCAUCGGCUAACUCCGUGCCAGCAGCCGCGGUAAUACGGAGGAUGCGAGCGUUAUCCGGAUUUAUUGGGUUUAAAGGGAGCGCAGACGGGUCGUUAAGUCAGCUGUGAAAGUUUGGGGCUCAACCUUAAAAUUGCAGUUGAUACUGGCGUCCUUGAGUGCGGUUGAGGUGUGCGGAAUUCGUGGUGUAGCGGUGAAAUGCUUAGAUAUCACGAAGAACUCCGAUUGCGAAGGCAGCACACUAAUCCGUAACUGACGUUCAUGCUCGAAAGUGUGGGUAUCAAACAGGAUUAGAUACCCUGGUAGUCCACACGGUAAACGAUGGAUACUCGCUGUUGGCGAUAUACUGUCAGCGGCUUAGCGAAAGCGUUAAGUAUCCCACCUGGGGAGUACGCCGGCAACGGUGAAACUCAAAGGAAUUGACGGGGGCCCGCACAAGCGGAGGAACAUGUGGUUUAAUUCGAUGAUACGCGAGGAACCUUACCCGGGCUUAAAUUGCAAAGGAAUAAUCUGGAAACAGAUUAGUCUUCGGACCUUUGUGAAGGUGCUGCAUGGUUGUCGUCAGCUCGUGCCGUGAGGUGUCGGCUUAAGUGCCAUAACGAGCGCAACCCUCGCCGCCAGUUACUAGCAGGUAAUGCUGAGGACUCUGGCGGGACUGCCAUCGUAAGAUGUGAGGAAGGUGGGGAUGACGUCAAAUCAGCACGGCCCUUACGUCCGGGGCUACACACGUGUUACAAUGGGCGGUACAGAAGGCAGCUACCUGGCGACAGGAUGCCAAUCCCUAAAGCCGCUCUCAGUUCGGACUGGAGUCUGCAACCCGACUCCACGAAGCUGGAUUCGCUAGUAAUCGCGCAUCAGCCACGGCGCGGUGAAUACGUUCCC